UGACUUUCAGUUCAGCUGAGAGUUGGAGC
Molecule: small RNA, 29 nt
Filed under: Bombyx mori (domestic silkworm)
Lineage: Eukaryota; Metazoa; Arthropoda; Insecta; Lepidoptera; Bombycidae
Description: ovarian small RNA-2184
Source: RNAcentral